This 305-nucleotide ribosomal RNA is filed under the name uncultured bacterium. Its description in RNAcentral is "bacterial SSU rRNA". It matches the Rfam family "Bacterial small subunit ribosomal RNA", at positions 335 to 636 of the family's 1533-position model. The record is from RNAcentral.
UUUCCUACGGGACGCAGCAGUGAGGAAUAUUGGUCAAUGGGCGAGAGCCUGAACCAGCCAAGUCGCGUGAAGGAUGACGGCCCUACGGGUUGUAAACUUCUUUUGUCAGGGAGCAAUUGGGUCCACGCGUGGGCUUAGCGAGAGUACCUGAAGAAAAAGCAUCGGCUAACUCCGUGCCAGCAGCCGCGGUAAUACGGAGGAUGCGAGCGUUAUCCGGAUUUACUGGGUGUAAAGGGAGCGUAGACGGCGCGGCAAGUCUGAAGUGAAAGGCAGGGGCUUAACCCCUGAACGGCUUUGGAAACUGC